GCCUAUGGGGGGCAGCAGUGAGGAAUAUUGGUCAAUGGGAGAGAUCCUGAACCAGCCAAGCCGCGUGAGGGAAGACGGCCCUAUGGGUUGUAAACCUCUUUUGUCGGAGAACAAAACCCGGGACGUGUCCCGGACUGCGUGUAUCCGAAGAAAAAGCAUCGGCUAACUCCGUGCCAGCAGCCGCGGUAAUACGUAUGGUGCAAGCGUUAUCCGGAUUUACUGGGUGUAAAGGGAGCGCAGGCGGCGCGUUAAGCCUGGUGUGAAAGCCCGCGGCCCAACCGCGGGACUGCAUUGGGAACUGGCGC
This 305-nucleotide ribosomal RNA is filed under the name uncultured bacterium. RNAcentral's name for it is "bacterial SSU rRNA". It matches the Rfam family "Bacterial small subunit ribosomal RNA", at positions 337 to 639 of the family's 1533-position model. The record is from RNAcentral.